AAGCACAGAGAUACUGGGUUAGAGCAUGAUCCAAACAAGAAUUGCUGGAGCAAGUUCUGAAUCCCAUGCCAUGCCUGUGCUCUCACCAGUCCAGGUACUCUGUCCCAAGGACCUUGCAGUGAUGUGGUGUGAUUGCAGAGUUCCCAGUCCCAGCACUGGUCACCUGCAUCCCAGCACGACCCAGUGCUGCGCUGAGAUGGAUCCAUGCCCUGAACCUGAAGGUCAGGGUCAUCUAUGUCCCCAUGAGAGCCAGCCCGUGGUGCCUCCCUAUGCUCACCGACUGGAGUUUGACAAGUGGCAGGUGGCUGGGAUGGCAAGCCACAGCCACUCCUGGUGCUGGGCCGUGGCAGAGCAGCAAGAUGGGAAAGGGGAAGGCUCUGGUGUUAUUUACCUGGGACUAAACUCAGGCACCGUUUGCUAAAAUAGAAGCCGGGCUUAAAUUGAUUCCUAGUGUCUAUAUUUCAUGUUGAAAAUUGGCUUGUAAAUCCAUGUUUUGAUCUAUGAGGGCCGUCUCCUUAAGAAAAAGCAAGAGUAAAUGUGUAAUUUCUCCCUUGACAGCACACGGCGCAGAGGCGAUCCUUCUUCCCGCUCCCCUCCGUUUCGGGACAGCUCCACUCGUUCCGAUUACCACUCUUUCUUCCUCGCCCCACGCCUUGAUGUCUCCAUUUCAUUACCGCCCGCCCAUUUAUCAAGCUGUUACCGUAAGGGUGACUUUGCCCACUUGCGUGUGGCAGCGGGGCCUGGCUGACACGGGGAGAGGGUGCCCCGGGAGGGGGGUACAGGCAAGGCCCCCCUCUCCCCGCCGCUGCUGGAUGGAUGUUGUGGUGGAGGGAAGGCUGCAUCAUUACUGAUGUGUAAAUGAUAAAGAAGCCUCCACAUCCAUCUCCCAACUGUAAAUCCAGGGAGUGCUUUAUAAUCAAGCUACAGCGAUAAUAAUGUGAAAUUAGGUCUCUCUAUCAACGGGAGGAGGCCUUUUAAUCACAGCUUAAAGGGUGCAAACGCUGUUUAUCAUAAUUGAACUGUAUCCGGGCUAAUUGUGGCCAUAUUUCACUGUCUAGGAGACAGCAGGCUGCCUGCUGACAGUGCCGCGUGCCGGAUUGAGGGCCCCCCGCAGCCGGGCAGCGCUGUCCUGCUGCCAGGCAUCUGCCUGCAGGGACGGGGCUGCCCGGCCUCCUGGAUGCUGCCUGCCACACCAGCAGCACUGCCCAGCCCCGCUGUGCCCAGUGACCCCUGGCAAAGCCAUCGCCUGUCCCCCAGCAUCUGUGUGAGGCUCAGGACUUUCCCUGUGCGCAGCUCCCCAAGGGGCUGCCAGGAGCUGCCAGGGACCCUCCUGGCUGAGGCUGGCAGUGGAAGAGGUAAUGUCCCCAUCAGUGCCACGUGUCUCUGGAGUGUCUCCCGAGACCCUCUCGUGGCAUCCCUUCCUGUCACUUGUGUGCCUAACAGGGGACAGCAGCUGGGCAUGAGGAGAGGCCAGCAAAGGAGGGGAGUCCCCAGCCCACUGGCUGGCAUGAGGGCAGAGGUGAGCCCAUCUCUCUGUGCCUUUGUCCUCUCUGCUGCCCAAAGUGACACUGAUGGCUGCAUAAGGCCCCUGGAGGUGACAGGUGUCCUGCCCAGCCAAGCCACAAUGCCAGCUCCUGCUGCUGUCACUUGUUCCCACUCAGCGAUCCCCUCACUGUCCUUAGGAUCACCUGCUCCAUCUCAGCUGUCCCCCAGACAACUGAGCCCCUUGGAAAAGCCUCAGCCCUUGGAGCCAGCUGCCAGUGGGAUCUAACAGGGUAACAGUGGCUUGAAAGCUGGGGAAACAGAGGUGCCAGCGCUGGGAGACACCCUGAACUCUGAGCUGCCACCCUGCAAAACUGGUGGGACCCUCUUGGGUCAAUGCCACCCACAUGCCCAUGCCGCCAGUGCUGUCCUUGCUGUCCCAAAGGAUGCCACGGCCCCUGGCAGCGAGUGUGCCAAGCUCAUCAUACAUCAUUUAGUGAGACUCAUUCCAAAUCAGCGCUAAGGUAAACACGCUUAUUAUAAUUAUCCAUGUAAAAAAAAAUCAACAACAGCAGAACAACUUUCUAAUAUGCAAUUACAGCCAUCUAUUGAUUUUA
Molecule: long non-coding RNA, 2099 nt
Organism: Passer montanus (Eurasian tree sparrow)
Lineage: Eukaryota; Metazoa; Chordata; Aves; Passeriformes; Passeridae
Exons: 2
Source: RefSeq, a predicted model, not a curated record